Molecule: ribosomal RNA, 253 nt
Filed under: uncultured bacterium
Lineage: Bacteria
Description: partial 16S ribosomal RNA
Rfam family: Bacterial small subunit ribosomal RNA
Source: RNAcentral
UACGUAGGGUCCGAGCGUUGUCCGGAAUUAUUGGGCGUAAAGAGCUCGUAGGCGGUCCGUUAAGUCGGAAGUGAAAUCUCAAGGCUCAACCUUGAAAUCGCUUUCGAUACUGGCGGACUUGAGGCAGGUAGGGGAAGGUGGAAUUCCUGGUGUAGCGGUGGAAUGCGCAGAUAUCAGGAGGAACACCGGUGGCGAAGGCGGGUCUCUGGGCAGUAACUGACGCUGAGGAGCGAAAGCGUGGGGAGCGAACAGG